UACGUAGGUGGCGAGCGUUGUCCGGAUUUACUGGGCGUAAAGAGCGCGCAGGCGGUCGUACAAGUCGCGUGUGAAAGCCCCCGGCUCAACCGGGGAAGUGGGGCCGAAACGACCCGUCUGGAGGGACGUAGGGGGACCUGGAACUUCCGGUGGAGCGGUGAAAUGCGUUGAGAUCGGAAGGAACGCCCGUGGCGAAAGCGAGGUCCUGGACGUCUACUGACGCUGAGACGCGAAAGCUAGGGGAGCAAACGGG
RNAcentral lists this ribosomal RNA (253 nucleotides) under uncultured bacterium. RNAcentral's name for it is "partial 16S ribosomal RNA". It matches the Rfam family "Bacterial small subunit ribosomal RNA", at positions 524 to 776 of the family's 1533-position model. The record is from RNAcentral.